AGAAAUAGUGAAAAAUCGGUAGAAAGAAAGGAAGAAAAGAAGAAGAAAAUAGAAGAAAGGGAGGAAAAAUGAAAUUGGAAAAAGGAAGGAAGAAAAAAAUAGGAAAGUUUCGCCUAUGUUGUUAGAAAAUAAGUGGUCUACACAAUUAGACUUGAAUUCCUCAAUUUUGAAAGGUAAGUAAAAAGCUACUUAUUAUCAAGUUAUGUUUAAUUUUAUAAUUAUUAGAUUGUUUGAUUAAAUUAAAUUUUAUUGAAUGGGUUAAGUAUAUAAGCUAUGAAAUUGAGUAAAAUGAUAGAAAAAAUUGUUUUAGUAAUUAAAGAGACUUUAGAAAUCGCUUAAAUGUGAAAUGAUUAAGUUUGAAUAUCGCCUAUUUAAUUAUUGAGAUUACUUAAAAUAGUUAAUUGUUAAUUUAAAAAUUAUAUCAUAUUUCAGGCGCCGAUACGAAUAUCGAGACAUCUUACCAACCGAGUUAAUUUUGGCGAACAUAAUUCUGUGAGUGUAAAAAUAUAAAUAUUUUUAAAGUAUUUAUAAAUUAAGUAUAUUGUUAAAGUAUGUGGAAUUAUAUGCAAUUUUGUGUUAGAAAUUACAUGGUUAUUAUGAAAAUAUAUUUUAUUAUGAUACAUGUGGGAUUUCAAAGAUUGUAUACUGUAUAUUGUGAAUUGGGAUAUGAGAUAUGAUUUUGAGAUCGAUCAAAAAAGUACCAUUGAUUAUAUAUUUCUUCUAGUUCACAGAGGGGUAUUGGCCGUAUUCUAUACUACACUGAGGGGUCGACUGGGAAUGAAAGGGUCAUGACCGUGUAUAUGUAGUUCACCGAGGGGCCUUGACCGUAUUCUAGAGUUGAUUAGUAGAGGUCUUGAGACCUGCUUUCGUUCACGGAGGGGUCAAAGGCUUGUGGCGAAAGUUCUUAGCCCGAGAGGUGGAUUACAAAUUUUAGUUAGAGGGUACAUUUUUGGCAAAUUUUUCAGUAUAUUUGAUGUGAUGAGAUUAUAACAUGAUUACCAGCUUAUGUUUAUAUCAUGACUUGAAAUGAUAUUUUACCACGUUAUGGGAAUGUAUCACGUUUUGGUUAUAUUUAUAUGAUGUUAUCUUGCGAAAAAAGUAUAAUUAUUUUUGAACUUCUCUACUCACUGAGCUAUCAAUUCAUAUAUUUUCCCAUAAUUUUCCUACAAGUGGAAAUUGAUUCUUUUUAGUUGGGAGAGCCUAAUGAUUUUGGAAUGAGAGUCACACGACACAUUGAGUGUUAUAAUUCAUAUUGACGAAACACGAAGUAAAUAAUUUGGGCCCACGCAUUAUAUUUUACAUAAGC
RNAcentral lists this long non-coding RNA (1306 nucleotides) under Olea europaea (common olive). RNAcentral's name for it is "long non-coding RNA (OEUR_LNC009628)". The record is from RNAcentral. Lineage: Eukaryota; Viridiplantae; Streptophyta; Magnoliopsida; Lamiales; Oleaceae.